This 495-nucleotide ribosomal RNA is filed under the name uncultured bacterium. RNAcentral describes it as "bacterial SSU rRNA". It matches the Rfam family "Bacterial small subunit ribosomal RNA", at positions 28 to 511 of the family's 1533-position model. The record is from RNAcentral.
GAUGAACGCUAGCGGCAGGCUUAACACAUGUAAGUCGAGGGGCAGCAGGGGUAGCAAUACUCGCUGGCGACCGGCAAACGGGUGCGGAACACGUACGCAAUCUACCUUUGUCUGGGGCAUAGCCCGGUGAAAACCGGAUUAACUCCCCAUAGUAUCUAUGAGUGGCAUCACUUGCAGAUUAAAAAUUUAUUGGACAGAGAUGAGCGUGCGUCCCAUUAGCUAGUUGGUAGGGUAACGGCCUACCAAGGCGACGAUGGGUAGCUGGUGUGAGAGCACGACCAGCCACACGGGCACUGAGACACGGGCCCGACUCCUACGGGAGGCAGCAGUGAGGAAUAUUGGUCAAUGGACGCAAGUCUGAACCAGCCAUGCCGCGUGAAGGAUGAAGGGCGUUUCUGCGUUUGUUAAAACUUUCUUUUUAUUGGGGAAGAAAAGUACGGUUUCUACUGUAUCCGACGGUACCCAAGGAAUAAGCACCGGCUAACUCCGUGCCAG